Molecule: transfer RNA, 72 nt
Organism: Ovis aries (sheep)
Lineage: Eukaryota; Metazoa; Chordata; Mammalia; Artiodactyla; Bovidae
Rfam family: tRNA
About the family: Transfer RNA (tRNA) molecules are approximately 80 nucleotides in length. Their secondary structure includes four short double-helical elements and three loops (D, anti-codon, and T loops).
Source: Rfam
UCCCUUGUGGCUCGGCUGGUAAAGAAUCCACCUGCAAUGUGGGAGACCUGGGUUCAAUCCCUGGCUUGGGAA